GUCUAUGGCCAUACCACCCUGAACAUGCCUGCUCUCAUCUGAUCUUGGAAGCUAAGGAGGGAUGGGCCUGGUUAAUACUUGGACAGAAGAAAUUAAAACAUAAGCAAGUCAAAAAUA
This is a ribosomal RNA of Prolemur simus (greater bamboo lemur), 117 nucleotides long. The record is from Ensembl. Lineage: Eukaryota; Metazoa; Chordata; Mammalia; Primates; Lemuridae.